UUUCUCUCUGCAAAUAUCAGAUGAGAAAAGAAGCUGAGGAAAUCAUAGUGCCUGCUAUAGUUACUCUCACUAACACUGAACAAGAUGCAAUAUUACAAUCUUGAGAAGCAGUUAUCCAACCAGAAUAAAUACACACAAGCUAUGAAAAUGUUGUUUAUAACAUCUAUUUGUGGCUAUGAAAUUUCCAUGAAUUAACCUUCUUCCCAUAAAUCCAUGCCUCGGGUACUGAGUAAACUAUUCACCUGAUUUUAUUCUUCAUUGCUAAUAUAGUAACUGGAUAUUAGCAACUAAAGCUUUUCA
RNAcentral lists this long non-coding RNA (300 nucleotides) under Bos taurus (domestic cattle). Its description in RNAcentral is "long non-coding RNA NONBTAT010695". Lineage: Eukaryota; Metazoa; Chordata; Mammalia; Artiodactyla; Bovidae. The record is from RNAcentral.